GGGGAUGAUCGGCUUCGACGUGUAAUCGUGUGGGUUUGUGCAAAGACGAGCUGAGACAACUCGCAAAACUGUUUCAACCAAUACGUGCAAACACAAUCGCACAAAAAGCGAAGGCAAUCGUUUCUCCGUUUUACACAGCGAACGACUUCGCUUUCGCUCACGCCUAAAUAUAUCCGACACCUUGUGUGUUUAGGAUCCUGACGCGCUUUGCGCGAACGGUUGCCUGAGCGACGCUCGACCCCUGACAUCUGAUACGGGAUUUCGAGUGUUAUCCAUCAGAUUCCAACACAGCAACUAUUUCCGAGCUGUGCCACGUUCAAGGGAAUUGCGACAAUACACUUCUUUGUUUGUUUGAUGAGUGUGUUGAUCAAAGAUUUCCAAACAAACUAUUCUUUGUAGAGUCAUUCACAUACCUUGCAUGGACGGGGGUUCAAUUCCCCCCAUCUCCACCA
This 452-nucleotide transfer-messenger RNA is filed under the name Parcubacteria group bacterium. It matches the Rfam family "transfer-messenger RNA". From Rfam's summary of the family: Bacterial tmRNA, also known as 10Sa RNA or SsrA, is named for its dual tRNA and mRNA-like properties. Its role is to liberate the mRNA from a stalled ribosome. To accomplish this part of the tmRNA is used as a reading frame that ends in a translation stop signal. RNAcentral also lists the same sequence under 1 other name. The record is from RNAcentral.